This 538-nucleotide ribosomal RNA is filed under the name Cobetia sp. RNAcentral describes it as "bacterial SSU rRNA". It matches the Rfam family "Bacterial small subunit ribosomal RNA", at positions 377 to 907 of the family's 1533-position model. The record is from RNAcentral. Lineage: Bacteria; Pseudomonadati; Pseudomonadota; Gammaproteobacteria; Oceanospirillales; Halomonadaceae.
GCGAGCCUGAUCCAGCCAUGCCGCGUGUGUGAAGAAGGCCUUCGGGUUGUAAAGCACUUUCAGCGAGGAAGAACGCCUUGGGAUUAAUACUCCCGAGGAAAGACAUCACUCGCAGAAGAAGCACCGGCUAACUCCGUGCCAGCAGCCGCGGUAAUACGGAGGGUGCAAGCGUUAAUCGGAAUUACUGGGCGUAAAGCGCGCGUAGGUGGCUAAGUCAGCCAGGUGUGAAAGCCCCGGGCUCAACCUGGGAACGGCAUCUGGAACUGCUUGGCUAGAGUGCAGGAGAGGAAGGUAGAAUUCCCGGUGUAGCGGUGAAAUGCGUAGAGAUCGGGAGGAAUACCAGUGGCGAAGGCGGCCUUCUGGACUGACACUGACACUGAGGUGCGAAAGCGUGGGUAGCAAACAGGAUUAGAUACCCUGGUAGUCCACGCCGUAAACGAUGUCAACUAGCCGUUGGGUCCCUUGAGGACUUAGUGGCGCAGCUAACGCAAUAAGUUGACCGCCUGGGGAGUACGGCCGCAAGGUUAAAACUCAAAUG